This 253-nucleotide ribosomal RNA is filed under the name uncultured bacterium. RNAcentral's name for it is "partial 16S ribosomal RNA". It matches the Rfam family "Bacterial small subunit ribosomal RNA", at positions 524 to 776 of the family's 1533-position model. The record is from RNAcentral.
UACGUAGGGGGCAAGCGUUGUCCGGAAUCAUUGGGCGUAAAGAGCGUGUAGGCGGCCAGACAGGUCCGUUGUGAAAACUCGAGGCUUAACCUCGAGACGUCGAUGGAAACCGUUUGGCUAGAGUCCGGAAGAGGAGAGUGGAAUUCCUGGUGUAGCGGUGAAAUGCGCAGAUAUCAGGAAGAACACCCAUGGCGAAGGCAGCUCUCUGGGACGGUACUGACGCUGAGACGCGAAAGCGUGGGGAGCGAACAGG